Molecule: long non-coding RNA, 3867 nt
Organism: Hirundo rustica (Barn swallow)
Lineage: Eukaryota; Metazoa; Chordata; Aves; Passeriformes; Hirundinidae
Exons: 7
Source: RefSeq, a predicted model, not a curated record
GAGGAGCUCCUCCUUUCAGGAGCUCACAGCAAAGGCAUUUACCUGUAGGCUGGAUUGUGUUUGUUAAGAGUCCAUCCUCACUCUUGCUUAGAAAAAGAGAAGUUUGCAAAAGGUGGGAGAAGCAGCAGAGUCCAGGAAUGGAAGAAGCCCUGAUUUGGUGACGGUUCACUUCAACCUCAGCUCAAAGGUGCAACAAAGCUCGUGCCAGUGGUGGUUCAGAGAACAUCACCCACUUUUAUGUGGCCUGAAGGAUUUCUUUGCAGCAAGUUCACAAGGCUGAGAUUCAUCCAGUGGAUUAGAGAAUUGAACAUUCCCAAGGUGCAGAAGGCCUGACAACACCUGGAAUACAAUCAGGGACUUUUUCAGGACAGCUGCCCCCUGAGCCUUCCUUCAGCCCCAGGCCAGCUCAACCUUCCUGCACAAAAGGCAGCAAACAGAUCCCAAACUUCUCUGUGGGUCCUUAAUGCUGCAAUUCCCCAAGGCAAACUGAAACUCAGAGGUGCAGACUUUUAGUUCAGACCUAAUCUUUGGCUGUGCAGCCUGGUGAGGAGCUGAGGGCCCUCCAGUGAGGAGCAGGGAUUUAUUCCAGCAGCAGUCCCACCCUGGGAACGCAUUCCCCCAUCCUCAGCAGCCUCGUGUCCCUGCCGUGUGGCUGACCUUGAAAAUAUUGCUCUGCGUGGCACGGCCGAUGCCCAGGUGGAACAUUGCCCCUCUGGUCACCUCGAAGCAGUCCUCUGAAAAGCCAAAGAGUGCUCUUGAAAAAGCCAAGCACACAAACAGGGGCCAGCAGAACAUCUCAGCGCGUCCAAUCCACCUGGAAUGGCCGGUGGAGGCAGGGAAGCUGGGUGCUGCUUGGCUAAAUCCCACACGAGCUGGAGAAGCAACCCACUGGUUUCUUCUGCCUCUGUCAGUUUCUUUCAGCAUUUGGCAGCCAGCGGUACUCAGCCCCUUCUGGAAGGUUCCACUCCAGCCUCUCCUCUGCAGUGGCACCUUUUGUGAUCUGGAGACAGAAAACAAGAGAUCAGGGUGAGAGCUUGCAGAAAAAGAAAACAAAAAAAGAAGGAAAAUAAUAACAGUUUAAGUUGGCAGUAAACCAAAAUACGCUGGAAAGACAUAAAAUGUUCUGUGGCGGAUUUCAGAAAUAAGCUUUAAAGGAACAAGAUAAUAAAGAUUUAAAGGAACAAGACAACAGGGUGCAGGCGUUCCCUGUGAAAUUGCCAGUGGCAGACACACAACAAUCAGAGUGGUCCCCCUGUGCCGUGCAGCACAUACAGUCUCGUUGCCUUUUGGGGAGAGACCUGAGGCAGCAACAGAGGCAUAGAACUUCAUAAGGCAGCGAGAGGUCCAGGUCUGCAAGAGAGAGAUCCGACAGUGGCUCUUUGUGCUCAACAUGUUCUCAGUUGUGUCAGUGGAGCAGUGCUGCCUUCUGGAAACACAGUGUGCAGGGAGGAGGCUAAAGGGAGCAACUCUGUCAGGUUUAGAGCUCUGGCUGAGGGAAAACUCUGUGCCACAGACACACAUUUCAGCGCUGCUGCAGUGGGAGUGCUCUGCUGGAUGCCACUUCCACCGAGGUGUCACCAUCUGGAAGCUCAGCCAGAAGUAACAGCUACUGCCUUGGGAUGAAUGUGAAUGGAUUUUGAGUCACUCACAUUCAGAAAAGCAUCUUGUUCUUGGGCUUAAAAAUCCCCUCAGCAUUGUUCUGAGCAGGGAUGUUCCAGGGCAGGAGCUGAAUCCGCUGCUCUGUCUUUACAGAGGGUUUGCUGAGACUCACACGAGCUCCCUGGCAGACCAGGCUGAGGCACUACCUCAGGUGCAAUUCCUGCUGAAUGAUUCAAACCCAGCCCUCCAGAAGUGACAGAUGUCACCCGAAGAGAUGCUAUAUUAAGCAGAGUGUGUUUAACUGCAGCAAUCACUUAAGGCUUCACACACAUUUCAAGAGAGUCGUGCUGGGCAGAUUGGCUACGUGCUGUGUCAGAGGGGUUUUUAACUCAUUUUUGCUCAUUCUCUGCACUACAAAUCACUGGCAGAGUUCAAAACUCGGCAGCAGUGUCAUAGAAAAGCAUUUCCUUACCUUCCCAGCACCACUUUCUCCACUCACAAUGAUGGACUGGUUCACAGGGUCCAUCUGCUUUUGGACAUUCCUGUAGGUUUGCUCGGCCACUGCAAAGAUGUGAGGUUUUAAAUCCUGGCAGUGAAAGAGAAUAUCCACAUUUAAGAGUACAGUAACCACACAGUUCGGCAGCAAUAGAUAGCAAGGGUCAUCUCAUGUUUACCUGAAAACAGCACAGCUCUUUUAACAGAACUAAUACUUCACUAGAAAUGGGGUUUAUCCUGGGGGUGUGUUUUGCUUAGGUGAAUUUGGAGCAGUCUGACACCUGGGCUCUGCAGAAGGACAGUGAUUUCAAACGCAAGGGUUACCUGAGGACAAAGUGCAACGUGGUACUCCCUCAUGAGCUCGGGUGAGUAGAGGCAGGAGAAAGGCUGGAAAGGAUUUAAAGCCACCAGGCUGCAGCCAGCAUUUGUGUAGAACAGGUUGGCUCUGUAUCUUGCUUGAAGACAUUUCAGAACUGAAAAGCAACACCUUCUGUCAGCAUCUUUUGCAAAGUGUGUUUGACUCUUGCUGUGCCCGCUUGUAGCAAAAGUCUCAGGCGUGUUACCUAUCAGGUUUAAUAAGGAUGAGGUGAUCAAGAGAGGGAUGUGGGUGUAAUAUGCAUAACUCCUGUGUUCAUGGUGUUAGUGCAGCGAGAGCAGGAGCUGCCACGUGUCAGUGGGCAGCAGGGAAAGGGAUCCCUCAGCAGACACUCCCUGGCUGCUCACCUGUCCUGGUGGUCACCGGGUUCACUUUGGUGAGGUCGUCAAAGAGAUGCAGUUUCUCUUCAUCACCGAGGAAAGCUCCAACUUCUUCUUCAAAUGAUUCACUGAGGUCAUUCUGGAUGAGAGAACCUUCCCUUUGGCCAUUUUCCUGGAGGGGAUGUCAGAUCAGCACCAGUGAAAGGUGACAAGCUGGACUUUCACCUCACCCCCUGUUCAAGCUCUUCUGCUGCUUCCAUGUCACCGAAGUUCAGCCUCGGCAGGAGCCAGAGCUCAGGAUGUGCGAGCUUCUCCUCCUCCCAGCGGCCCUGCCCCUGCUCUGAUGUUAGAAAAGUGUUCUGGCUGUGAGCAAAGGCACUCAGAGAGCGUGGCCCUGGGCUCACACUGCACUUCUGCACAGACACACACCAUGUUCUUGCAGCUGGCUCAUGUCUAAGCCUCUGCAUGUCGUGCAUUCAACCCAAGCAGUGCCCUGGGCCCAGGGAAGCAGGAAGGGCUGGCUGCAGGUACAGCUGGAAGCCCCUGAAGGCCAAAACAAAUGCAGCUUUCCCAGCAGGGACUCUCAUUUUCAGGGUGAAAGCUGCAGAGUGCACGCAUCACAGCCAGGGUGGAGGAAUGGUGCUGGGAGAAGAGCUGCCCUGCCUUAGCUGGAGUUUUGUCCCCUCUGAAUCAUUUAAAAUACUCAAAUCUCAGCCUCUGGGCUCCUGUGUCCUUGACAACAUUAUUUGGAAGGACACAUUUGUGUGUAAUGGAAAACCAGCCAGAAGAGAGAUUCCAGAACCUGCUUGCCAUUUCUGGGGAAGGGAGAGGCCAGGAGAGAAAAUGAAAAAUGGAAAAGAUGCCUGUCCUGAUUUCUGCAUCCUGUACACUCCUCUCCUGAUCUCCUUCUCUUUGACAGAAAGUUCUCCAAACUAUCCCUACUCAGCUGUGCCACAAGUAAACCAAUGAACAGCACCACCUUGUUCAUACAGAAAACACAAUUUAGUUAGCAGCUAUGUGAGCUGAGCUCAUUAAUACAGGGGAAAUGCACUGCAAACCCCAUUUAGCACAUUCCUU